AGCGGCGGAUGGGUGAGUAACACGUGGGGAACCUGCCCCUAAGUCUGGGAUACCAUUUGGAAACAGGUGCUAAUACCGGAUAAUAAAGCAGAUCGCACGAUCAGCUUUUGAAAGGCGGCGUAAGCUGUCGCUAAGGGAUGGCUCCGCGGUGCAUUAGCUAGUUGGUAAGGUAACGGCUUACCAAGGCGACGAUGCAUAGCCGAGUUGAGAGACUGAUCGGCCACAUUGGGACAGAGACACGGCCCAAACUCCUACGGGAGGCAGCAGUAGGGAAUCUUCCACAAUGGACGCAAGUCUGAUGGAGCAACGCCGCGUGAGUGAAGAAGGUUUUCGGAUCGUAAAGCUCUGUUGUUGGUGAAGAAGGAUAGAGGUAGUAACUGGCCUUUAUUUGACGGUAAUCAACCAGAAAGUCACGGUUAACUACGUGCCAGCAGCCGCGGUAAUACGUAGGUGGCAAGCGUUGUCCGGAUUUAUUGGGCGUAAAGCGAGCGCAGGCGGAGAAAUAAGUCUAAUGUGAAAGCCCUCGGCUUAACCGAGGAACUGCAUCGGAAACUGUUUUUCUUGAGUGCAGAAGAGGAGAGUGGAACUCCAUGUGUAGCGGUGGAAUGCGUAGAUAUAUGGAAGAACACCAGUGGCGAAAGGCGGCUCUCUGGUCUGCAACUGACGCUGAGGCUCGAAAGCAUGGGUAGCGAACAGGAUUAGAUACCCUGGGUAGUCCAUGCCGUAAACGAUGAGUGCUAAGUGU
This 745-nucleotide ribosomal RNA is filed under the name uncultured bacterium. Its description in RNAcentral is "bacterial SSU rRNA". It matches the Rfam family "Bacterial small subunit ribosomal RNA", at positions 94 to 823 of the family's 1533-position model. The record is from RNAcentral.